RNAcentral lists this ribosomal RNA (465 nucleotides) under Vreelandella stevensii. RNAcentral describes it as "partial 16S ribosomal RNA". It matches the Rfam family "Bacterial small subunit ribosomal RNA", at positions 338 to 795 of the family's 1533-position model. Lineage: Bacteria; Pseudomonadati; Pseudomonadota; Gammaproteobacteria; Oceanospirillales; Halomonadaceae. The record is from RNAcentral.
CCUACGGGGGGAAGCAGUGGGGAAUAUUGGACAAUGGGGGCAACCCUGAUCCAGCCAUGCCGCGUGUGUGAAGAAGGCCCUCGGGUUGUAAAGCACUUUCAGUGAGGAAGAACGCCUGGUGGUUAAUACCCAUCAGGAAAGACAUCACUCACAGAAGAAGCACCGGCUAACUCCGUGCCAGCAGCCGCGGUAAUACGGAGGGUGCGAGCGUUAAUCGGAAUUACUGGGCGUAAAGCGCGCGUAGGUGGCUUGAUAAGCCGGUUGUGAAAGCCCCGGGCUCAACCUGGGAACGGCAUCCGGAACUGUCAAGCUAGAGUGCAGGAGAGGAAGGUAGAAUUCCCGGUGUAGCGGUGAAAUGCGUAGAGAUCGGGAGGAAUACCAGUGGCGAAGGCGGCCUUCUGGACUGACACUGACACUGAGGUGCGAAAGCGUGGGUAGCAAACAGGAUUAGAUACCCGGGUAGUC